CCCCCCGAACUAUGUUUUUAAGCGGAGUGAUUUAACCUGAUACGGUGGUUGUGUGUGCAUUUUUUUUUAAAACAGUGUGAUUUCAAUUUUGGCCACUAGAUGUCAGCAAAGCUGUAUAAUAAAAUUUACAGACUCAGGAUGGCCGCUAACACAGUUCAUCCAGCCUCAGAUGCCGGCCUUAAACAUAUGGUUGCUGGUUGUUGGCCUGAGAUUUCACCCGACAGCUAGUAUUAAACCGAAUGAAGGUGAACAAAAGAGGGCUGUACACCUCACUGAAUGAAAGUCAAGUGAUAACGACUUUGCCUCUCUUCUCAACAUCCCACCAUUUAAAACACAACUUGGCACCUCAGAGGGCAUUUUUUAGGAAGAUAUACGCAAGUCUUUCAUGUCUGAGAUCUAAGAGUGAUUACAUAUUCAGACCUGAGGGAUGAAUCUGCGAGGACCUGCUUUAGUCACUGUUUACCUGCUGGAAGGAGACUGAAGGGAGCUAA
Long non-coding RNA from Oreochromis aureus, 491 nucleotides. RefSeq lists it as uncharacterized. The transcript is spliced from 3 exons. NCBI's taxonomy places the organism in Eukaryota, Metazoa, Chordata, Actinopteri, Cichliformes, Cichlidae. The record is from RefSeq and is a predicted model, not a curated record.